UCCAGGAUCAAAUAUUGAAGACUUUGUGCAUUCACUGAAGCGUCAGGAUAUAGUUUUGGAAAUAGAUGACCUCAGAAACAGAAAUGGCUCAGAUGAUCCCUCCUACAAUGGAGCCAUCAUAGUGUCUGGUGACCAGAAGGAUUAGAUUUUCAGUUGCAUGUAAUACCAAGAAAUCGAAUUGUUUUCCGUUCUUAUGGGAAUUGUUAGCAAUGCCCUUAUUGGAAUUUUUAACUUCACAGAGCUUAUUCAAAUGGAGAGCACCUUAUUUUUUCGUGAUGACAUAGUGCUGGAUCUUGGUUUUAUAGAUGGGUCCAUAUUUUUGUUGUUGAUCACAAACUGCAUUUCUCCUUAUAUUGGCAUAAGCAGCAUCAGUGAUUAUUAAAAAAAGUUCAAUCUCAGUUAUGGAUUUCAGGCCUCUGGCCUUCAGCAUAAUGGUGUGGACAGGCUCUGGUGGACAUUCCAUUACACUUCUUGAUUCUCCUUUCAAUACAUUUAAUUUACUACUUCUCAUUUCUGGGAUUCCAGCUUCCAUGGGAACUCAUGUUUGUUUUGGUGGUAUGCAUAAUUGGUUGUGCAGCUUCUCUUGUAUUCCUCAUGUACGUGCUUUCAUUCAUCUUUUGCAAGUGGAGAAAAAAUAAUGGCUUUUGGUCUUUUGGCUUUUUUAUUGUCUUAAUAUGUGUAUCCACAAUUCUGGUAUCAACUAAGUAAGAAAAACCCAACUUAAUUUUGUGCAUGAUAUUCAUACCUUCCUUUACUUUCCUAGGAUAUGUCGUUAUUGAUCCAGCUCAACUUUAUGUAUAUGAGAAACUUGGACAGUCUGGACAAUAGAAUAAAUGAAGUCAAUAAAACCAUUCUUUUAACAAACUUAAUACCAUACCUUCAGAGUGUUAUUUUCCUUUUUGUCAUAAGGUGUCUGGAAAUGAAGUAUGGAAAUGAAAUCAUGAAUAAAGACCCAGUUUUCAGAAUCUCUCCACGAAGUAGAGGAACUCAUACCAAUCCAGAAGAGCCUGAAGAAGAUGUUCAAGCUGAAAGAGUCCAAGCAGCAAAUGCACUCACUACUCCAAACUUGGAGGAGGAACCAGUCAUAACUGCAAGCUGUUUACACAAGGAAUAUUAUGAGACAAAGAAAGUUGCUUUUCAACAACAAAGAAGAAAGCAGCCAUCAGAAAUGUUUCGUUUUGUGUUAAAAAGUGAAGUUUUGGGAUUACUAGGACACAAUGGAGCUGGCAAAAGUACUUCCAUUAAAAUGAUAACUGGGUGCACAGUGCCAACUGCAGGAGUGGUGGUGUUACAAGGCAACAGAGCAUCAGUAAGGCAACAGCGUGACAACAGCCUCAAGUUCUUGGGUACUGCCCUCAGGAGAACUCACUGUGUCCCAAACUUACAAUGAAAGAGCAUUUGGAGUUGUAUGCAGCCGUGAAAGGACUGGGCAAAGAUGCUGCUCUUAGUAUUUCAUGAUUGGUGGAAGCUCUCAAGCUCCAGGAGCAACUUAAGGCUCCCGUGAAAACUCUAUCAGAGGGAAUAAAGAGAAAGCUAUGCUUCGUGCUGAGCAUACUGGGGAACCCAUCAGUGGUGCUUCUAGACGAGCUGUUCACCGGGAUGGACCCUGAGGGGCAGCAGCAAAUGUGGCAGAUACUUCAGGCUACCAUUAAAAACCAGGAGAGGGGCGCCCUCUUGACCACCCAUUACAUGUCAGAGGCUAAGUCUCUGUGUGACCGUGUGGCCAUCAUGGUGUCAGGAACGCUAAGGUGUAUUGGUUCCAUUCAACAGCUGAAAAGUUUGGUAAAGAUUAUUUACUAGAAAUAAAAAUGAAAGAACCUACUCAGGUGGAAGCUCUCCACACAGAGAUUUUGAAGCUUUUCCCACAGGCUGCUUGGCAGGAAAGAUAUUCCUCUUUAAUGGCAUGUAAGUUACCUGUGGAGGAUGUCCACCCUCUGUCUCAGGCCUUUUUCAAAUUAAAGGCAGUGAAACAGACCUUCAACCUGGAGGAAUACAGCCUCUCUCAGGCUACCUUGGAGCAGGUGUUCUUAGAACUCUGUAAAGAGCAGGCGCUGGGAAAUGUUGAUGAUAAAAUUGAUAUAACAGUUCGAUGGAAACUUCUCCCACGGGA
This 2110-nucleotide long non-coding RNA is filed under the name Homo sapiens (human). RNAcentral's name for it is "non-protein coding lnc-ZNF721-1:6". The record is from RNAcentral. Lineage: Eukaryota; Metazoa; Chordata; Mammalia; Primates; Hominidae.